CCUACGGGCGGCAGCAGUGAGGAAUAUUGGUCAAUGGACGAGAGUCUGAACCAGCCAAGUAGCGUGAAGGAUGACUGCCGUAUGGGUUGUAAACUUCUUUUAUAUGGGAAUAAAAUGUUCCACGUGUGGGAUUUUGUAUGUACCAUAUGAAUAAGGAUCGGCUAACUCCGUGCCAGCAGCCGCGGUAAUACGGAGGCUCCGAGCGUUAUCCGGAUUGAUUGGGUUUAAAGGGAGCGUAGGUGGAUUGUUAAGUCAGUUGUGAAAGUUUGCGGCUCAACCGUAAAAUUGCAGUUGAAACUGGCAGUCUUGAGUACAGUAGAGGUGGGCGGAAUUCGUGGUGUAGCGGUGAAAUGCUUAGAUAUCACGAAGAACUCCGAUUGCGAAGGCAGCUCACUGGACUGCAACUGACACUGAGGCUCGAAAGUGUGGGUAUCAAACAGGAUUAGAUACCCCGGUAGUC
Molecule: ribosomal RNA, 460 nt
Filed under: uncultured bacterium
Lineage: Bacteria
Description: partial 16S ribosomal RNA
Rfam family: Bacterial small subunit ribosomal RNA
Source: RNAcentral